RNAcentral lists this ribosomal RNA (253 nucleotides) under uncultured bacterium. Its description in RNAcentral is "partial 16S ribosomal RNA". It matches the Rfam family "Bacterial small subunit ribosomal RNA", at positions 524 to 776 of the family's 1533-position model. The record is from RNAcentral.
UACGGAGGGUGCAAGCGUUAUCCGGAUUCACUGGGUUUAAAGGGUGCGUAGGUGGGCAGGUAAGUCAGUGGUGAAAUCUCCGGGCUUAACCCGGAAACUGCCGUUGAUACUAUCUGUCUUGAAUAUAGUGGAGGUGAGCGGAAUAUGUCAUGUAGCGGUGAAAUGCUUAGAUAUCGAGAGGAACACCUGCGGCGAAGGCGGGUUGCUGGGCUGACACUGACGCUGAUGCGCGAAAGCCAGGGGAGCGAACGGG